This 148-nucleotide small RNA is filed under the name Callithrix jacchus (white-tufted-ear marmoset). Its description in RNAcentral is "Metazoan signal recognition particle RNA (ENSCJAG00000073461.1)". Lineage: Eukaryota; Metazoa; Chordata; Mammalia; Primates; Cebidae. The record is from Rfam by way of RNAcentral.
GCCGGGUAUGGUGACACGUGCCUGUAGUCCCAGCUACUUGGGAGGCUGAGGCAAGAGGAUUGCUUGAGCCUGGGAGGUCGAGGCUGCAGUGAGCCAUGAACGUGCCACUGUACUCCAGCCUGGGUAACAGAGAAAGAUCUUGUCUCAA